Non-coding RNA from Cavia porcellus (domestic guinea pig), 74 nucleotides. NCBI's taxonomy places the organism in Eukaryota, Metazoa, Chordata, Mammalia, Rodentia, Caviidae. The record is from Rfam.
GGGAAUUUAGCUCAGCGGCAUAAGCACCUGCCUUGCAAGCAGGCGGUUGUGAGUUCGAUCCCUCGUACUGAUUA